UGGGCAAUCCUAUACACAAUGUAAAGCUUGAUUUUAUGGUUCCAUGGGUUCUAUUGAAUCUUCUCAUUCCCUCGGUGUACCUUUAUUCUUUUAUUUUUGUGUAAUGAGCCAGUAGUUUAUUAAACCAAUAUCUGGAUAACUAGGGCCUAGGGGUUAAUAGGCCUCGAAAAAAUCUAUACAUUUUCUCCCCAGUUACCAAUGUACUCCAUAUACAUAAUUUGUAAUCAAUAUAAACCUGUGUACUUUUUCAAAUCUGAGGUUUCCUACAUGCUUUUAUUAUAGGUAUCAAGUUUAUUUUAUUCCUCUAAUUUGAAAUGUUUGCCAUAAUACUAUCUUCCUAUAUUCAUCAGCUUUCUGUUGUUAUGCCUAUGAUUUGAUCUUGUUCUUUCGUUGCCUAUUAAUUUAUUAUAAGUUUACUGGACUGCUUUUGUAGGGCCGAUUUGAGUUACUCUUCUUUUCUGGAU
Molecule: long non-coding RNA, 464 nt
Filed under: Elaeis guineensis (African oil palm)
Lineage: Eukaryota; Viridiplantae; Streptophyta; Magnoliopsida; Arecales; Arecaceae
Description: long non-coding RNA (EGUI_LNC074271)
Source: RNAcentral